RNAcentral lists this ribosomal RNA (403 nucleotides) under uncultured bacterium. RNAcentral's name for it is "bacterial SSU rRNA". It matches the Rfam family "Bacterial small subunit ribosomal RNA", at positions 356 to 773 of the family's 1533-position model. The record is from RNAcentral.
GGGGAAUAUUGCGCAAUGGGGGGAACCCUGACGCAGCAACGCCGCGUGAGUGAAGAAGGCCUUCGGGUCGUAAAACUCUGUCAUUGGGGAAGAAAAAAAUGACGGUACCCAAUGAGGAAGCCCCGGCUAACUACGUGCCAGCAGCCGCGGUAAUACGUAGGGGGCAAGCGUUGUCCGGAAUUACUGGGCGUAAAGGGUGCGUAGGCGGCCGAUUAAGUCAGAUGUGAAAUACCACGGCUCAACUGUGGGGGUGCAUAUGAAACUGGUUGGCUUGAGUGCAGGAGAGGAAAGUGGAAUUCCUAGUGUAGCGGUGAAAUGCGUAGAGAUUAGGAGGAACACCAGUGGCGAAGGCGACUUUCUGGACUGUAACUGACGCUGAGGCACGAAAGCGUGGGGAGCAAAC